GUUCCAAAUAAUCCUCCCAUUAAGGUUAAAGGCUCAAAGCAAAUCAACUACAGAUUAAUUUCAUUGUCAAUUCAUCUCCACUCCCUACAAAAUCAGCUUUCCCUUGAAAUAAAGAUAUGUAAUCACUAAUAACAAAACUUUGGAUGAUGUUGAAUAUUUAUCCAGAUGUUAGACAAAGUUUUUGCCAAGCUCUCAAAAUCUAGCCUCGAGAUAUGUCUAAUG
This 222-nucleotide long non-coding RNA is filed under the name Elaeis guineensis (African oil palm). RNAcentral describes it as "long non-coding RNA (EGUI_LNC034544)". Lineage: Eukaryota; Viridiplantae; Streptophyta; Magnoliopsida; Arecales; Arecaceae. The record is from RNAcentral.